AUGUGGCAUCGACGAAGCACUACACCUAGCUUGCUCGUCGGCGCGCGCACGCGUGCUUGGAUGCGCGUCGCUUCGUCGAGCUGGCCGGACCACAGCAAUCACUGGAGUCGGAGCUGGAGGAGGAGACGAGAUGCUGCUGUUGCGGCUGCAUCCUCGGAGGCAGCAGUUGCCUCUCACCGACCUCACCAACCUCCGGCGUUCGCCAUGAGCUCCGCGCAGGACCCCUAUUACAUCGUCCAGGAGGAGAUCCAGGGUUGGGAUGCUGGUGCAUGUGGUGGUGAUCCUCCUGUUAGGAGGUAG
This 300-nucleotide ribosomal RNA is filed under the name Triticum aestivum (bread wheat). RNAcentral's name for it is "partial small subunit ribosomal RNA". The record is from RNAcentral. Lineage: Eukaryota; Viridiplantae; Streptophyta; Magnoliopsida; Poales; Poaceae.